RNAcentral lists this ribosomal RNA (497 nucleotides) under uncultured bacterium. RNAcentral describes it as "partial 16S ribosomal RNA". It matches the Rfam family "Bacterial small subunit ribosomal RNA", at positions 28 to 507 of the family's 1533-position model. The record is from RNAcentral.
GAUGAACGCUGGCGGCGUGCCUAAUACAUGCCAGUCGAGCGAACGGACGAGAAGCUUGCUUCUCUGAUGUUAGCGGCGGACGGGUGAGUAACACGUGGAUAACCUACCUAUAAGACUGGGAUAACUUCGGGAAACCGUAGCUAAUACCGGAUAAUAUUUUGAACCGCAUGGUUCAAAAGUGAAAGACGGUCUUGCUGUCACUUAUAGAUGGAUCCGCGCUGCAUUAGCUAGUUGGUAAGGUAACGGCUUACCAAGGCAACGAUGCAUAGCCGACCUGAGAGGGUGAUCGGCCACACUGGAACUGAGACACGGUCCAGACUCCUACGGGAGGCAGCAGUAGGGAAUCUUCCGCAAUGGGCGAAAGCCUGACGGAGCAACUCCGCGUGAGUGAUGAAGGUCUUCGGAUCGUAAAACUCUGUUAUUAGGGAAGAACAUAUGUGUAAGUAACUGUGCACAUCUUGACGGUACCUAAUCAGAAAGCCACGGCUAACUACGUG